UGCAAUGGCGGUGUGUAUGUCUAGGAUUGGAUCCGAAGGGAGCUUGGUACUUAAGUAGUCCGAUAGACUCACCUCCUCUUUUCCGGUUUUCUACCUGGUGCACAGCUUCCAUUCACUUUAACCUAUAAUGAAAUUAUCUUUUAAAACACUAAGUAGGUUUUUCUGGAUCAACAAUAUAAAAUGUUUUGAACGCUUCGAUGUGAC
RNAcentral lists this long non-coding RNA (204 nucleotides) under Gossypium barbadense (sea-island cotton). RNAcentral's name for it is "long non-coding RNA (GBAR_LNC006996)". Lineage: Eukaryota; Viridiplantae; Streptophyta; Magnoliopsida; Malvales; Malvaceae. The record is from RNAcentral.